AGAGUUUGAUCCUGGCUCAGGAUGAACGCUAGCGGCAGGCUUAACACAUGCAAGUCGAGGGGUAACAGGGUGCUUGCACCGCUGACGACCGGCGCACGGGUGCGUAACGCGUAUACAAUCUACCUUGUAGAGGGAGAUAGCCCGGGGAAACCCGGAUUAAUACCCCAUAGUACUUAGAGACAGCAUUGUUUUUAAGUUAAACAUUUAUGGCUACAAGAUGAGUAUGCGUCCUAUUAGUUAGUUGGUGAGGUAACGGCUCACCAAGACUGCGAUAGGUAGGGGUCCUGAGAGGGAGAUCCCCCACACUGGUACUGAGACACGGACCAGACUCCUACGGGAGGCAGCAGUGAGGAAUAUUGGACAAUGGGCGGGAGCCUGAUCCAGCCAUGCCGCGUGCAGGAAGACGGCCCUAUGGGUUGUAAACUGCUUUUAUACGGGAAGAAACACCUCUUCGUGAAGAGGCUUGACGGUACCGUAAGAAUAAGGAUCGGCUAACUCCGUGCCAGCAGCCGCGGUAAUACGGAGGAUCCAAGCGUUAUCCGGAAUCAUUGGGUUUAAAGGGUCCGUAGGCGGGAUAAUAAGUCAGUGGUGAAAGUCUGCAGCUCAACUGUAGAAUUGCCAUUGAUACUGUUGUUCUUGAGUGUUUAUGAAGUGGUUAGAAUAUGUAGUGUAGCGGUGAAAUGCAUAGAUAUUACAUAGAAUACCGAUUGCGAAGGCAGAUCACUAAUAAAAUACUGACGCUGAUGGACGAAAGCGUAGUAGCGAACAGGAUUAGAUACCCUGGUAGUCUACGCCGUAAACGAUGGUUACUAGCUGUUUGGUCUUCGGACUGAGUGGCUAAGCGAAAGUGAUAAGUAACCCACCUGGGGAGUACGUUCGCAGAAUGAACUCAAGGAAUUGACGGGGGCCCGCACAAGCGGUGG
Molecule: ribosomal RNA, 923 nt
Filed under: uncultured Bacteroidota bacterium
Lineage: Bacteria; Pseudomonadati; Bacteroidota
Description: bacterial SSU rRNA
Rfam family: Bacterial small subunit ribosomal RNA
Source: RNAcentral